GCUAGAUCGAGCGCCAUUUUCUCUUUCUGGCGGUCGAUGCGGCGCGGGUAGCGCGCGGGCGGCGGCCGCUGAGGGAGGCGGGCGUGGGGCGAGGCGCGUGCGGAGCCCCGUCCAUGGCGCCGCGCCCCCGGGGCGCGCGCUGAGGGCGGCGGCGGCGCAGGGCCGGGAGGCGGGGCCGCGGGAGCGGUGGCACCGGGCAGCGCCGGCGGCAGCGCCAGGGGCAGAGCCGCAGCAGUGAGCGGCGGGUGGCGGCGGUGCGGGUCCGCGGCGGGCGGCGGCGGCCGCAGGAGGAGGAGGAGCGGGAGCGAGAGCCAGGAGGAGGAGCAGCAGCGGCGGGGGCUCCCCCUGCAGCCCGGCCGGGUUCCUGUGAUACACCUACCCCAAUGGUAUCAGCAUGUCUUCUGGGCUUGGUGAUAAAAAACAUUAGAAAACAAGACUAGCAUCUGUCAAAUGGGGUUCCCUUUCAAUUUCUCUCUACACACCUUUCCUUUCAGGGGAGAAGAAGCGAAGAAUAGUAUGUGAGUUUGUUGAAUUUUAAUCAUUCAAUUAUAUGUUUUGUACAUAAAUUGAGGUUUGGGGUGGUUACAUACAGACUGGAACAUUUUUUAUAUGGUUUUGGGGACUUUUUGAGGCUUAGCUUGUAGCUGGUGUCUUUUAUGCAGGGGGAUUUUGCAACUAUUUGCAUGAAGGUCUUCUUCAAAGUAGAGCUUUCAUGUUGGCAGAGAGCUUGCUUUUUUGGUAAAAGUACAGCUUUUCAAGACAUUUGAGACUGUAUGUGCUGAACGACUGUUUGGAGAUUUCCUCUAUUUCUAAUUUUUUUUCUUUUUCCUGUUCAGGCGUGUCCUAGAUGGAUGAAUUGUUUAGCAGUAAGAACUAGGAUGCAAAUGCUCCUGGAUCCUCUGUCAGCUAUUUAAGCACCAACUACUGGAGAAGCUUCCAGUGACCUUUUUCAGUGCAAGCUUAGGGUUAGGUUUUGCAUUCUGUGUCCAUUGUAGUUUCUUAAAGUUCAGUCUAAAUUGCAUCUUGCUGUAAUCUAAGAAGGAGUUGACAAAGGUUGAGCUUUUUUUUUUAUUUCUACAGCUGAGCCUGUGGAGAUACCUUACAAGUUUACAAAAGUAGAAGCUUUUGCAAGAAAUCUAGAUUUACUAGCAUUCAUAUUUUAAGCAUGUACAUGGUUGACAGCAAACAAAAAUAUCAAAAAGAUUUCUCAUCUUGAUGCUAACAUUUAAGGUGAAAGGUGUGGAAUUUCUCCUUAAGUGAUAUGAUCGUAAUUUUCUGAAUAGAACUUAAUAAAAUUCUGGUGUUCAUGUUCUUUUACGAAAAC
This 1324-nucleotide long non-coding RNA is filed under the name Junco hyemalis (dark-eyed junco). RNAcentral describes it as "lncRNA (ENSJHYG00000014346.1)". The record is from RNAcentral. Lineage: Eukaryota; Metazoa; Chordata; Aves; Passeriformes; Passerellidae.